Molecule: ribosomal RNA, 254 nt
Filed under: uncultured bacterium
Lineage: Bacteria
Description: partial 16S ribosomal RNA
Rfam family: Bacterial small subunit ribosomal RNA
Source: RNAcentral
GCAAGUCGAGGGGCAGCACGAAUUAGUUUACUAAUUUAAUGGCGACCGGCGCACGGGUGCGUAACGCGUAUGCAACCUACCUCGUACUGGAGGAUAGCCCGGAGAAAUCCGGAUUAAGCCUCCAUAGUAUUCUAUAUCGGCAUCGAUUUUAGAAUUAAAGGUUACGGUACGAGAUGGGCAUGCGUCCCAUUAGCUAGAUGGUAAGGUAACGGCUUACCAUGGCGACGAUGGGUAGGGGGCCUGAGAGGGUGAUC